RNAcentral lists this long non-coding RNA (13854 nucleotides) under Pelobates cultripes (western spadefoot toad). Lineage: Eukaryota; Metazoa; Chordata; Amphibia; Anura; Pelobatidae. The record is from RNAcentral.
GUUUGACACUUGAAAUGGCAGAGAGUAUCACCUAUGCAGAUCUACAAUUUAUCAAAUUACCACUGAAACAAUCUCAAAAUGCAGGUAAUAUUUUAUUUAACAUGCUGUCAUGUUGGAUGAUAUAUACAAAUAUAUUUGAAAUAAUGAAUCGAAGGACAGAGAGCUAAUUGUGAGAGCUUACCUUAAGUGCUAUAGUAAGAAUCUAUGCAUUAUGAUGGAGAAUAGUUGUGUCCCAUUACCAAACUCUCAACUUUACUGGGAAUGUCUACCCGAAGGUAAACUUGUGAACAGCUGGCAGAGAAAGCACCAGCCUACUGGUGCAUGUCUGCUGGAGGAGUCCACAAAUGUGCAUUUUUUGGUGUAUGUAUUCAUUUUCCCGUAGUCCUUAUUUGAAGAAUCAUUUUCUAAUUAUGACCUCUUAUUCUGUUCCUCUGAGAUAGGAUUCUGUAAUUUGAGAGAUUUGGGGAUGUAAAUCCAGACUUGUCUAUACUUUGUUGUAGACAACGUAAUAAGUGUUUUUUAAAUAUAUUUUUUUAACAAAAAGAGGUUAAUAUAAUGAGGAAGAUUAAGUCUUUGUAGUGAUCCUUAUAGGUAUUAUGGGAAUAGUGGAAGAGUCCUGUCCUAGUGAUCCAGCAGAGGUGGUAGGAUAGAUUGGAAAUGUCCAUGUUUAAUGUUAUAGAAGGACCGUGUCCAAAAUAUGGAAAUCACAAUACAUGAGUCCUUUAUCCACUUCAUCUCAUGUGAUAUAUUUCCUUAUAUCAGGGACUGGGCCCUCUUCUGUAUCUGUGACUACUUCUUACUUAAACUCAAUCUCUUCCAUUGGAAGUCCUUUCUUUCCUGGUCUGAUCAGUAAACCUCACUUUUCAGUCUCCAUUGAGGUUAAUGAUGUGUCAACCCAGUCCCAUAACAUAACAUAACCCCUGUUCAAAGCUCAUCAACCUACCUUUCAUUAAUUGCAAAUAUGUAGGAAUAUCAUGAAUGUUAUUGCUAUCUUCAUUACCUGCUGCUCUUCUCACCCCUGACACGACCCUCCAUGCCUCUUGAUCCCCUUCUAAAACUAAUCGAUUGCUGUACCCCAAAUAAAUAUAUUCUCCAAUUACCAAGGGCAGGCCAUCUCAGGAACUCGGCUCUGUCAUGGAAUUUUACUAAUCCAAUGUUUGCACCUACAGGUCUCACAGUGUAUCUCGAGGUCUGUCUCAUUAUGUGAUGCCCUACCUCAUCCAGUAAGACUUUCCUCAAUACUUCAAGGUUAAUGCUCUGUAAAUACUUCAUGAACAGACUGAUAUUUCCCUGUUUUUGUUUCUUUGUUUCCUAAGAUGAAAACUCUGAGAAAUGGGAAGACAUGUAUGAGAAUGUGAACUGUCCGAAACUAGAGAAACAAGUUGUGGACUUCCCAGCCUCUCCCAACGGAAGUUCACGCCAGCUCAGGACAGGUGAGCUAUGUAUUUAGCUAAGGAUUUACAUAACUUGUAGAUAUGACUUUUACUAUAGAACCAACACGUUACAGGGAGCACCCAUGGCUUCCCUUAGUUAGAUGUAAACAUAGCUUGACCUUUUAGAAGAUCCAAGAUGUCACUUACUGUCUGUAUUACUGGAUCACAGCUACAAAGAUCUUCAUCUAUUUCUGCUAUAUUAAACAGAUGACUGUAAUGACUCUCUUGGCUGUCUCAUAGUUACAUAGCUGAAAAGAGACUUGCGUCCAUCAAGUUCAGCCUUCCUCACAUUUGUUUUUUGCCGUUGAUCCAAAAGAAGGCGAAAAACCCAGUUUGAAGCACUUCUAAUUUUGCAACAAGCUAAGGAAAAAAAUUCCUUCUUGAAUGGCAGUCAGAUUUAUAAUUGGAUCAAGCAGUUAUUACACAACAUUGAAAGAUUAUAUCCUUGAAUAUUCUGUUUUUGCAAGUAUGCAUCUAGUAGCUGUUUGAACAUCUGUAUGGACUCUGAUAAAACCAGUUCUUCAGGCAGAGAAUUCCACAUUCUGAUUGUUCUUACAGUAAAAAAAAACCUUUCCUUUGCCUUAGACAAAAUCUUCAUUCUUCCAGUCUAAACACAUGACCUCGUGUCCUAUGUAAAGUGCAGUUUGUGAAUAGAUUUCCACACAAUGGUUUGUAUUGGCCCCGAAUAUAUUUGUAUAAUUUUAUCAUAUCCCCUUUUCUAAACUAAAUAGGUUUAAAUUUGUUAACCUUUCUUCAUAGCUGAUAUGUUCCAUUCCUUUUAUUAAUUUUGUAGCCCGCCUCUGCACUUUUUCUAGUGCCAUAAUAUCCUUCUUUAGAACAGGUGCCCAAAAUUGCACAGCAUAUUCAAUAUGUGGUCUUACCAGUGAUUUAUAAAGAGGCAAAAUGAUAUUCUCGUCCCGAGAAUGAAUGCUCUUUUUCAUGCAUGACAAUACCUUACUGGCCUUGGCCACUGCUGAUUGACAUUGCACAUUGUUACAAAGUUUGUUGUCUAUGACAAUUCCCAACAAUUCUUCUGUAUAUUAUAAGAAUAUAAUCUAUACAUUGUCCUGAAUAAUAAAUCACAUUUUUAAAUACAUUUCUAUUAAAUAAAGCAUUUUACUUACCUUUGUUUCACCACAUAUCAGCAUUCCACCCAUGGAUGAGAUCAGACUGCACGUGUGCAAUAAUUGUUGCACUAUGCUAAUCAGCAUCUCCUCAUAGAGGUCCACUAUCUCGAUGCAUCCCUCUAGUGACUGACUGUCUGUUGUCUGAGAGACUGCCUGAGUGCCUGAGUGAGUGAGUGACUAACUGUCUGAGAGACUAACUGUCAGAAACUCACUGACUGCGUGACUGUUGGAGACACUGACUGACUGAGUCACUGUCUGAGAGACUGACUGACUGUCUGAGAGGCUGACUAACUGUCUGAGUGACUGAUGACUGACUGUCUGAUUAAGGGGGUAUCAUAUAACUAAAUCAGCAAGAGUAACAAAUGUUAGAAAUAUAGGUUUUCUAAUUAUAACUGUUGUAGUGGAUAAUGGCCUUGAUUUAAAAGGACACUAUAGUCACCAAAACAACUUUAGCUUAAUAAAGCAGUUUUGGUGUACAGGUAAUAUCCCUGCUGUCUUAUUGCCCAAUGCUCUGCUAUUUAGGAGUUAAAUCACUGUGUUUAUACAGCCCUAGUCACACCUCUCUGCAUAUGACUUACACAGCCUUCCUAAACGCUUCAUGAAAAUGAAUCUAGACAUAGCACAUUCUCUUUAAUCUAGAGUUUCUUAUCAUUUGCACUGUUGAUAGUUUGCUAGACCAUACAGGAGCCUUUGUCUGUGAUUAAAGUUCAAUUUACAGAGCAGGAGGUAAAAAUGUCUAAGGUAUGUUAACAUCUGAUUAAAGAUUAAACCAUUUUUUCCAUGCAGGCUGUGUGAGUCAUAGCCAGGGGAGAUGUGGCAGGGGCUGCAUAAACAGAAACAAAGUGAUUUAACUCCUAAAUGGCAGAGAAUUGAGUAAUGAGAGGUCAGAGGCAUGAAAACUGCUUCAUUAAGAUAAAGGGGGUUUGAUGCCUAUAAUGUCCCUUUAAUAUUUUUGGAAAAAGCUUUUUGUAAAUGAUUUAAUAGUUUGAAAAUGUUUGAAUAUUUUAUUAGUGUGAUAUUAUUUAUAUAUUUUGUAUAUUUUGUCAUACUUUAAUAUUUUGAAAACAUUAUAAAAGUUUAUUCCAAAAAAAUAUUAAAUUGAAGCCAAUGUUAGAGGCAAUAUAAAAUUGGAACUGGAUAGUGAGAAGACUAACUAAUUUGUGAAAAUGUGCAGGCAAGUCACUAUAUAAGUAAAACACUCCCUGUGUCCCUUUAAACACAGUGCACACAAAACUGUAAGAUAACUUAGUUAAGAUACAAACAGAGGGCGCCACUUAUCACAAGAAAAGAGAAAUAAUUACCCUCGGUAGAUGGGCAUAAAAGUUCAUAUAAGGGAAGAAAAAAGAGAGAACAUCAUAGGGCAAAACUUUAAUAACAAAACGUUAAAAAUAAAUAAAAGGUAUUUUAUUUUUUACUUUUAUUCCAGAGGUUUGGUCCUUAAGGGGUUAAUAGCAAAAUGUAAUAAAAUAAAAUCAAAGGUAACACUCACAAACAAUGUGGCACAGGUGAAUAAAUCUAAAUGUGCUUAAAGUCUUGAUGCCUCAAAAUGGGCUGAAUCUCCAGUUGUUGCAGCCAGAGGUAUAGGUCUGGAUACGAUCACCAGUACAGGGAUGGACCAAGAUGUUCACCGUCAAGGACUGGAUACAAUAUUCUGGAUCAAUGUUAUUGGGCUCAACGCCUUAAGUCUCUUGACUUGUUCAGGAGUUUGCUUCUGUCUUCUCACUUCAGCUUUUAAAUAGCCGGCAUCUUGGUCCAUCCCUGUAUUGGUGAUCGUAUCCAGACCUUUACCUCUGGCUGCUACAACUGGAGAUUCAGCCCAUUUUAAGGCAUCAAGACUUUAAGCACAUUUAGAUUUAUUCACCUGUGCCACACUGUUUGUGAGUGUUACCUUUUAUUUUUAUUUUUUUACAUUUUGCUAUUAACCCCUUAAGGACCAAACUUCUGGAAUAAAAGUAAAAAGUAAAAUACCUUUUAUUUAUUUUUUUAACGUUUUGUUAUUAAAGUUUUGCCCUAUGAUGUUCUCUCUUUUUUUUCUUCCCUUAUAUGAACUUUUAUGCCCAUCUACUGAGGGUAAUUAUUUCCACUCUUUUAUUGUGAUAAGUGGCGCCCUAUGUUUGUAUCUUAACUAAGUUAUUUUACAGUUUUGUGUGCACAAUGUUAGAGGCAACCUUAAAAGUAUCAUGUGUAAAAUAAUAACCAUCUUUUUUUCACAUAAAUCAUUUUAAUUCUCUCAUUUCCCUACCUUUUUUUUCUUUAGGCAUUCAUAAACGUGUAUUUCACCUGACACUUGUAUUUUUCUUUAUUUUCUUCACAACCACAAUUGGACUUAUGGUAAAAUGUAAGUAAUAUAUAUAUAUUUUUUUAAAAUACAACCUAACCCCUAAAAUCUACUCUUAAAAAAUACCCAUAAAUCCCUGUUCACCGUUUCCUUUUCUCUAGUGUCAGUCUUCAUCAAGCAGAGCAAAGCAGAAAACCCACUGGUUCAUUAUUGUGUAGCUUAGAUGUUGAGGCCCUGUACAGCUCUAUACCAUACCACCUGAGAUUGGAACAUGUACAAGAGGUGUACAAUCGGUUUAUCAUUGACCUAUUAAGAUUUGUGCUACUGCACAAUUAUUUCCUAUUUGAUGGGGUCAAGGGGAAUGGGAUGGGGACAUCUUGUACGCCAACCUUCACCUGGUCCAAGGUGGUAUUUUUGGAUCUGCACAAUAAAUACACAAGCCUCAUCCUUGUUUAGAAAAGGUAUAUAGAUGACAUACUCAUCAUCUGAACAGGGUCUGAUACUCACCUUUGUCGAUUUGCUGAUUGCAAAUAACCUAAAUUUGAGGUUUACUGCCAAUAUAGGUCGCCACUCUCUGAACUUUUUGGACGUUACACGAACCCUUUAUGAUGUUGGUAAGAUCAAAAACCUAUCUGUAUAGGAAAAAGUACGGCCACCAAUUGCCUGUUAAACUGAUAAAGUAAUACACCAGCUCAACUUAAAAGAGGCAUUCCAAGAGUGCAAUACUUACUCCUUAGGAGAAGCUUUUCUGAUAUCGAGGAUUUUAAGUUAAUAGCUAGAGAGCUUCGCACUAUGUUUAGGGCAAAGAGAUAUACCAAUGUCUUAAAAAGAGCCUAUUAUAAGGCUCUUCAUCAUUGACCUUCAUCAUACCCAAUGGACAGACAUGAUCUACUCAAGGAUAACAAAAACUCCCUUAAUUCCAACAAAGGUCAAGAACUCAAGCAUUAGAGAUGCAUAGAGACAUUUGACUCAGGAUGGAAACAGGUUAAAAACGUUCUAGAUAGGUUCUGGCCCUUACUCAAACAAGACAACCAUUUAAAUAGAUGCAAUCUCUCCACAUGCCUCUAUUACAGCAUGGAGAGGAAAGAAUCUGAGAAAUCUUCCAGUGCAUAGCCACUUUAAGAGUAAGCCAGUACUAAUUCACUGGCUAUCUAAUAAGUCGGUAGGCAGAUCUUCACCAACAGUGAUAAUACAGAACAGUUUCAGGACAAAUCUUUUUUUAGUUUUAAUAUUAAGGGACUGAUUUACCUACUAACCUGCCAAUGUGAUUUACAUUAUGUGGGAAAGACCUUUGGAACAUGUUAAUUAUGCAAAAUCGAUGGGAAAUAUUGAAAGACCAAUUUCAAGACAUCUAAGCUAACAUCAAGGGGAUCCAAGAAAACAUAUGUUCUCUGGAAUCGAAUUGGUAACCUUGUGCCAGGACCUUACCUGAUGUGGAGUCCGACAUGCAGCGUUAUACGCUCACCCUUGCAAAUAAACACAGACCAAGUUGGCCAGGUAAGAAGCCACCUAAGCUGUGAGUCUGUGCAUGGGGGGUGUGCAGAAAGAAUAGCUCCAAGUCGCAGUACAGGAAAGAACAAGAAGAAGAGUAGUCGUGGAAAACCAAAGUCAGGGGAAGCCAGAGGUUUAGAAUAAACAAAGAAAAAGCCAAGGUCGGAAGCCGUCCGGGGAGAACACUGGAUCAAGAUACACAAUAACAGGAACCAGAGUCAAUGAACUGACCCUGCCCUUAGCGAGAAGCAGAGUUUUAUACCUGGCUGAUUGACUAUGUGCUUCAGGUGGGCUUGGAUAGACAGGAGCAGCCACAGGUAAAGUCCAGCCCCCCCAGUGCUGGACAGGGCCAGAUUAACAUAGGGGCUGAUGGAGCUGCAGCUCCAGGCCCAGGCCCAGGCCCAGGCCCAGGCACAUGGAAUAGGCACAUUUUAAAAAUAAUUUAUUUAUUUAUUUUUUUAAAAUUUAAUUUUUUUUACACACUACUCAUAGGUUUGCCACCUGACUGGUAUUUUACUGGCACAGCCGGUAUUUGAGGCUGCCUGGCCUUGAUGGUAUUGCAGUAAUACAGGCAAUACAAAUGCAAAUAUUUUUCUCAGUAUAAAUGGAGAUUACUCUGCAAUAUCAGCACUGGCCAGUAGGGGUCACUGUGUGUCGAGACAGGCAGGCAUAGGAAGUUACAGCAUCUCCCUGCCUCUCUACUUACUGAUCUGCAGGGGAGCAGCUAUACAGUACAGAGAGUCCAGACAGCAGCUCCCAGCCUGCAGACAACCUACAGCUCAGGGAAGUGAGGGAUGAGGGAAAGGCAGCAGGGAGACAUGGGGACACUGAGAGAUGUGGGGACACUGUGAGACAUGGGGACUCUGAGACAUAUGGAGACACUGUGAGAAAUAGGUAAACACAUUGGGACACGGUCAGUGUCCCCACGUCUCCCAGUCUCCCAGUGUCCCCUAGUCUCCAAGUGUCUGUGUCCCCAUGUCUCCCAGUGUCCCCAUGUCUCUUAGUGUCCCUGAAUGUGUGUCCCCAUGCCUCCCAGCCAGUGUCCCUAAUGUCUCAGUGUCCCCUAGACUUCUAGUGUCUGUGACCCCAUUUCUCCCAGUGUCCCGAAAUGUCUCAGUGUCCCCAUGUCUCCCAGUGUCUCCAUGUCGAUAGCCACAAGUGCCCCCAUGCCUCACUGUGUCCCCAAGUGUCUCACCAUGCAUCCUAGUGACACAGGACCCACUAAGACAUGGGGACACUGGGAGAAAUGUGGACACAGACACUGGGAGACUAGGGGACUGGGCGACAUGGGGACACUGACACUGUGAUACAGAGGGACACUGAUGCCAGGCUGGCCUUCCAAUUCUUUGGACAGACAUGCCCCCUUUCUGGGCAUGUUCGCCCCUUUUGGCAGGUUACGUGAUUUGCGUCAGUGGCACACCCUUUUACCCCAGCCAUUGACUUCCUGCUUCACUGGACACUGCUGUUAGGGGGUAUGGAUUUACUUGAAAGAUGAAAGCAUAAAUUAGAGAGAGAUAAGCAUAGAGUAUGUGUUUUCUUAUAGCUGUGUCCUUUGAGUUUCCCUCCAACACCAUCUCCAUCAGAUACAUGACGCUUGGGAGGUAUGGCUGUUUGUGUUUUUGGUCGAUAAGAUUCUGUAAUUAGACCCCAUCAUAAUUGUCAGCACCAGGCCCACUGGGCUCUUAAUCUGGCCCUGGUGCUGUAUACAAGACAGGGAUAAACUUCAGGUUGAAACAAGAACUGUAGUGUGGCUCAGAAGCAUAACAGUAGACCCACGACACAGAAGGAUCCAUGUUCAUAUCACCUGUUGGACACUUCUGGGAUGUCCACGUCUGGGUUUUUAUGGUGAGAACUGUGACACCUUGAAUCAAAGAAAAGGGAUCCUGGAUCAACAUUUUUUGAGGAGGGAGUAUACCCUAAAAUCCAAGUUCUCUCACUUCUCAUGAACCCCCCCCCCCCCCUAUACAUCUACAUUUUUUCAUUACUGUACAGUUUUCUAGGGAGGCCAUUUAAAAAUUCCUAAGGGGUGUACUAUACCCCAUUAACAAUUGUCAACUGUAAAAUUUGAGAAUUUUUUAUAUUACUAACAGUUCUUUUUUUUUCUUUUUGGAAAAAAAACCAUUUAACUUCAUAAUGUAAAUCUCUUACUGGGUUAUAUGUAUCUAUAUUGGAUAGGGGCUCAAUAGGAUUAUCAGGGUCAGCAAGAUAGGUAUGAGCAGUGUGUUUAUAUCACAUCAGUAUGUUAAGAGACCCUGAUUUGCAGAUUCUGAUGGAAGAAGGUUUCUAGGCUCUUAUAUGAGCUGCUUGUCAAUGUCCCUCUAGGUCAGUAGUUAACAACCUUUUUUUCACUUGAGUACCCAUUGGCAGCCUAUUUCUAUAAAUCGUACACCUCAUACUAGCGAAAUAUUUGUAAUUAUUAUACUUACUAAUAUUUCAAAUGUAUAUUUCUCACGGCCCGAUCUCCCUUUCUUCUCUGACCUAUUCUCUCCCUGCUCUUCCUCUGUUCCAUGCCCCCCCCCCCACUUCUCCUCUGCCCCAAGUAAGUAUAUGCAUGUGUAAUUGUAAUAUAUAUAUAUAUAUAUAUAAAUAUUACAUACUUAUACUUACAGACACACAAAGACACAGAUACAAACAAUGACACAUAUGCAGAUGCACAGGCACACAGAUACAAACACUGACACACAUACAGAUACAUGCACUGACACACUGUCAGAUGUGCAGAUACAAAGACUGACACAUGCAGAUUCACAGAUACACACAAUGACACACACACACACACACAUACACACAGAGAUACAGACAUACAGUUCCACACUUACCGUAUUUUCCCGCUCCAUAAGACGCACUUUUUUCCCCCUCAAAAGUGAGGGGAAAUGUCUGUGCGUCUUAUGGAGCGAAUGUGAAGCUUUACUUACCUGUCUUGUAGCGUGGGCCGGCAGCACAGCGCGCUAUGCGGUACAGGAACUUCAAUUUCAGGUUCUGGUUUCCGGCGGGGCUGAAAGGAAGUGCACACUCAGUGUGCACACUUCCUUUCAGUCCCGCCGGAAACCGGAACCUGAAAUUGAAGUUCCUGUACCGCAGAGCGCCCUGUGAAGCCGGCCCACGCUACAAGACAGGUAAGUAAUUAUGGGAAAAGGGGAGGGGGGGGACACUAUGGGACAAGGGGAGGGGACACACACUAUGGAACAAGGGGAAGGGGGACACACACUAUGGAACAAGGGGAAGGGGGACACACACUAUGGAACAAGGGGAAGGGGGACACACACUAUGGAACAAGGGGAAGGGGGACACACUAUGGGACAAGGGGAAGGGGGACACACUAUGGGACAAGGGGAGGGGGGGACACUAUGGGAGGGAAAGUGCACUAUGGGACAGGGGGAGGAACACUAUGGGAUGAGAAGACAAUUGGACAAGGGGAGGAGGGGUUAAAAAAAACACUACGGGACAGGGGAGGAGGGGUUAACAAUCACUAUGGGACAGAGGAAAGGGGGGUUAAAAUAACUAUGGGACAGGGGAGGGGGGUUAAAGAUCAUUAUGGGACAGGAGAGGGGAGUGGGUGGUAAGGAACAAAAAAUUCCUUAAAAAAAAAAAAUAUUCUGAACAAACUGUCCCAUAGUAAGAAACACUAUGGAACAGUUCAGAAUAUUUUUUUUUCUGGGUUUCCUCCUCUAAAAACUAGGUGCGUCUUAUGGUGAGGUGCGUCUUAUGGAGCGAAAAAUACGGUAUUUAUUGGAGUAUAGAACACCUUAAAAGUGGGCCUUAAUCAUGUUUAAGUCCGUCUAGGGCUGAAAAGUUGCACUUUUAUGUGGUGUUCUACCCUUCAAUAAAUACACCUUCAGUACCCGGAGUGUUGCCUGUAUAUUCUAUUACCUUGUAUUGAUGGACUGAUUAGCAGUGUCUGUCUAAUGCAGAACACCUCUGAGGCUGUGGGCCAGAGUGAAAAGCGGAACCUGAGUGCAGUGGUACACACUAACACACAAACAUACUCACAGAUGCACACACUGACACUCACAGAUACACACUGGCGCACACACACAAUUUGCAGCUUCCAUAAUGUUAACCACCCACCCUGCUUCAAUACCUUUUGGUUGCAGGGAGGUGACUUUCUGGGGCUGGCUGAUCCUGGUGGGAGUCUGAAGCUGCAGAGCUCUCUCUUUCUCCUCCCUCCUCCUUCUCUCCCAGCUGCCUGCAUCCUGUGUCUUCUCUCUCCGCUGCCUGCAUCUUCUCAGCCCACGCGGUCUGUAUGCUGGGAGGAAGUAAUAGUCACUUCCUCCCAGCACUCCCUUCAACUUUAAAGGGGCCCAGUCUACCAAAGGGCUGCAGCACACGACCGCAUCCCUAAUGAGGUAGCUCCACAGAUGGCAGCUGCACUAUUUUCUCAUGGGGGGUGGGGGGAAAUUGCCCUUUUGCGCCCCCCCGGAUCCGCCACUGCUCCAGAGUCUUGCAACUGUGCAUAAACUUUCUAUUCGGCCACCACUAACCAAUGCUCACAAGCAGAAAUGGCUGCAUUGGGCAGAAAAACACAUGAAGACUAAUUUUCAAACAGUCCUGUUCACUGAUGAGUGGUGUGCAACCCUGGAUGGUCCAGAUGGAUGGUGUAGUGGAUGGUUGGUGGACAGCCACCCUGUUCCAAAAAGGCUGCGACGUCAGCAAGGCGGUAGUGGAGUCAUGUUUUGGGCCAGAAUCAAGGGAAGAGAGCUGGUCGGCCCCUUUAUGGUCCCCGAAGGUGUAAAGAUGGCCUCUGCAAAGUUUGUGGAGUUUCUGACUGACCACUUUCUUCCCUGAUACAGAAGGAAGAACUAUGCUCUCCAUAAUAAAAUCAUCUUCAUGCAUGACAAUGCAUCAUCUCAUGCUGCAAAGAAUACCUCUGCAUCAAUGGCUGCUAUGGGGAUAAAAGGAGAGAAAGUCAUGGUGUGGCCUCCAUACUCCCCUGACCUCAAUCCUAUUAAGAACCUUUGGAUCAUCCUCAAGCAAAAGAUCUAUGAGGGUGGGAGGCAGUUUAGACCCAAACAGCAGCUCUGGGAGGCUAUUCUGACAUCUUGCAAACAAAUUCAAGCAGAAACUGUCCAAAAACUCACAAGUUCAAUGGAUGUAAGACUUGUGAAGCUGCUAUCAAAUAAGGAGUCCUAUGUUAAAAUGUAACGUGACCUGUUAAAAUUUUAAAAAGUUAAAAUGUUGUUAUAAGUUUGAUUGAAAUAGCUUUUGAUUUCAGUAAAUAUGCUGCAAACACAACAAAUGACAAUUUUCAGUUCUUUACAACCUAUAAAGUGUUUUAAAACUUACUGUGCGUAAUAAUUUGGAACAGUGCAUUGUAAGCUUAUGCUUAAAAAAAUAAAUAAAAAUACUGUUAUCAUUAGGAGGUUUGUUCAAUAAAAUUUGAAUUGUACUCUUAAUAGUUGACAACAUGAGAAUUCUGCUGACUGUUAUUUACAUCAAUUAUUUAGGUAAAUGAGAAAAAUAUAAUUUGCAUAAUAAUUUGUAACGGGGUGUAUUAGUCUGAUGCAACUAAAGUACAAAAUAAGAACUUGACAUUGUGUGUGUGUGUGUGUGUGUGUUUUUUUUUUUUGUCAAUCUUUGUUUUUGUUGAGGUGUAUGAUGGCUCAGUACAGAAAGUAAAACAAGGGGUUAAUGCAUGAAAAAUAUACGUAAUGCAUAACUGGUUUAUACAAUGGUUGCAUGUACUCCCAAGAAUAACGGCCUCUCUUUUUAUGAAAAUUUUAACAGUAGUAUUAUACAGGCUAAACAAGCUAAGCAGGCUAGACAAUAAAGGUUUACUUAACUAAGUCUGAUACACAGCUGAAUGUGACGUCGCUGGUAUAGCUAGGCAUGGAAGUAUCAGCGGCAAGCUAACAGGCUAAUUUACCAACUCUAAUCUUGACCUUCAGCUUAUGUGAAGCAAUGUACUUGCAACUAGUUUAGCUUUCGAAAAGGAUUAACCCAUUGCAGCAAUCGACAUGAGGAGGCUUGAGGGCUAUGAGUCUAUCUGAUAACACAAAUAUAUUUAGCUGAAAGAUAAGCUUCAGAGGGACAUGAGAAAAAGCUUCCGAAAGUAAAAUAUCGCCGUUUAAAAUGGGCUAAAGAGUAUAUGUAAAUGCUUGUUCCUAUAAAAGGAGCACGAGUUAAGUCACAUAGACAGAAGAUAUUAUAGACAUGGUGAUUACAUAGACAAAUUAUAUCAUGCUUGCUACUUAGUCAUGCACUACACUUUUCUUCAUCUGGUAAGCUAACAUGCAUGUAACUAAUAUGCCUCUGACAUAGUACUAGUUAAAGCUAAACAAUUAUGCAGUAAAUGUUGAGUAGAGGAGGCUUUGCUAAUCUAAAGUGAGAUCAUUGUUUACUUGGAGCAGUCCAGGGCAUUGAGUGCUGUGAGCGUUCAUGCAUUUAUUCAAACCACCCCACAUGGAGGAAUCAUGCUGCAGUCUGCGGGGACCAGUCCACUUGGUUGUUGGGGGGGCUGCCUCUUUGGUCCGUCUCUCUAUUGGUGGUUGGGCCUGUUCCUCUAGGGUGUAUGCUUUGACCCGCUGGGUGCUUGUCCCUCUGUGCCGUGGUUCCCCCAGUGCACCUCCCAGUUCCAUGUCGAUUGAGUGUCCUGUGUCUUCGGCCCCAGGCUUUAGCGGGGGCCCUUGCCACAAGUCCAUUGACCCCAUCCUCAGGGNNNNNNNNNNNNNNNNNNNNNNNNNNNNNNNNNNNNNNNNNNNNNNNNNNNNNNNNNNNNNNNNNNNNNNNNNNNNNNNNNNNNNNNNNNNNNNNNNNNNUGGGACAAGGAGAGGGGGACACACUAUGGAACAAGGGGAGGGGGACACUAUGGGACAAGGAGAGGGGGGACACUAUGGGACAAGGAGAGGGGGGAUACUAUGGGACAAGAAGAGAGGGGACACUAUGGAACAAGGGGAGGGGGGACACUAUGGAACAAGGGGAGGGGGGACUCUAUGUGGGACAAGGGGAGGGGGGACACUGUGGGACAGGGAGAGGGUUGGACACUAUGGAACAAGGAGAGGGUGGGACACUAUGGAACAAGGGGAGGGGGAACACUAUGGAACAAGGGGAGGGAGGGACACGAUGGAACAAGGAGAGGGUGGGACACUAUGGAACAAGGGGAGGGGGAACACUAUGGAACAAGGGGAGGGGGGACACGAUGGAACAAGGAUAUUGUGGGGAUUAAGGACAUUAGGGAUAUUCAUUAUUCUGUUUUUAUUCCCAGGUAUCAAUGUUUCCAGAGAAUUACACAGCUUGUCUUUAGAAUAUGAGAUGAUGAACACCAGUCUGUCUCAAACAUUACAGAGCCAAGAUAAUAGUCUGGAAAACAAUAAACAAAGCCUAGCACAGUCCCAGCAUCGGGUAGAGCAACUGGGACAAGACCUAACGGACACCAAUCACAGCCUGCAGAGAUGCCAUGAGGACACAGAGCAGUAUAAAAGGGAGCUGCAGAGUAUCACCAUCUUGCAGAAUAAAACAUCACAAGAUAUAAGAAAAACACAGCAAACAUUGGAAAACACCAUCUCACAACUAAACAAAAUUGAGAAAG